This is a long non-coding RNA of Pantherophis guttatus, 662 nucleotides long. RefSeq lists it as uncharacterized. The record is from RefSeq and is a predicted model, not a curated record. NCBI's taxonomy places the organism in Eukaryota, Metazoa, Chordata, Lepidosauria, Squamata, Colubridae.
CCAAGCCAGUGGAGCAGGUGAAAGGUCCAUUUCAGUUUCAUACUAGCCCUCCUGCUGGAAACUUAAGAUGCACUUUGGGAGACUCAGAGAAAUCUACAUUAUUCCCAUCUUUGACAACUGAACCAUAUUGCAUUUGUAUAGAAAAGGAUGCUCUUGAAGUAGAAAGUGGAAUUGCCAUGUUGAAAAUUCUGACUAUCAAAUUAUUACAAAGCAGCCAGUGCUUUCUAUCGUAUGGAGUUCAGCUUUAUGAAAACUCUCAGUUUCACUCAAAGGAACAAGCAAGAUCACCCAACCUAUAAACUUCAUCAAUAGGCUUCUAAUCUGCUGAAGAGAUAAAACCAAUAUGCUGAAGAGGUGCAUGCUGGGUACAGCCAUGGGGUCCCUAUGUAGGGGAAGGAGAGGAAAGCUUCAUUCAAGCAAACCGAUUCCUGCAGAUGAAGAUCAAAGCUUUUAUUUUUAGAAAACAAUGUUAACCUCUGCAUUUUUUAAUUACCAUGCUGUUUGAUGGAUGUGAUUUUUGUUGUUGUUGUUGAAACUGGGUCAUAGGAUUUUACUUUCUGCUCUCAGUUUUGGGAGUAUUUGUUGUGUCAGUCUGUGGGGCAUUAAAAAUGUGUGUACAUCCUCUAAGCCAGGACUGAAGUAAUAAACUAUUACUGACUUUG